RNAcentral lists this ribosomal RNA (1471 nucleotides) under Staphylococcus epidermidis. Its description in RNAcentral is "bacterial LSU rRNA". It matches the Rfam family "Bacterial large subunit ribosomal RNA", at positions 1 to 1471 of the family's 2925-position model. Lineage: Bacteria; Bacillati; Bacillota; Bacilli; Caryophanales; Staphylococcaceae. The record is from RNAcentral. RNAcentral also lists the same sequence under 1 other name.
AGAUUAAGUUAUUAAGGGCGCACGGUGGAUGCCUUGGCACUAGAAGCCGAUGAAGGACGUUACUAACGACGAUAUGCUUUGGGUAGCUGUAAGUAAGCGUUGAUCCAGAGAUUUCCGAAUGGGGGAACCCAGCAUGAGUUAUGUCAUGUUAUCGACAUGUGAAUUCAUAGCAUGUCAGAAGGCAGACCCGGAGAACUGAAACAUCUUAGUACCCGGAGGAAGAGAAAGAAAAAUCGAUUCCCUGAGUAGCGGCGAGCGAAACGGGAAGAGCCCAAACCAACAAGCUUGCUUGUUGGGGUUGUAGGACACUCUAUACGGAGUUACAAAAGAACAUGUUAGACGAAUCAUCUGGAAAGAUGAAUCAAAGAAGGUAAUAAUCCUGUAGUCGAAAACAUAUUCUCUCUUGAGUGGAUCCUGAGUACGACGGAGCACGUGAAAUUCCGUCGGAAUCUGGGAGGACCAUCUCCUAAGGCUAAAUACUCUCUAGUGACCGAUAGUGAACCAGUACCGUGAGGGAAAGGUGAAAAGUACCCCGGAAGGGGAGUGAAAGAGAACUUGAAACCGUGUGCUUACAAGUAGUCAGAGCCCGUUAAUGGGUGAUGGCGUGCCUUUUGUAGAAUGAACCGGCGAGUUACGAUCUGAUGCAAGGUUAAGCAGCAAAUGUGGAGCCGCAGCGAAAGCGAGUCUGAAUAGGGCGUUGAGUAUUUGGUCGUAGACCCGAAACCAGGUGAUCUACCCUUGGUCAGGUUGAAGUUCAGGUAACACUGAAUGGAGGACCGAACCGACUUACGUUGAAAAGUGAGCGGAUGAACUGAGGGUAGCGGAGAAAUUCCAAUCGAACUUGGAGAUAGCUGGUUCUCUCCGAAAUAGCUUUAGGGCUAGCCUCAAGUGAUGAUUAUUGGAGGUAGAGCACUGUUUGGACGAGGGGCCCCUCUCGGGUUACCGAAUUCAGACAAACUCCGAAUGCCAAUUAAUUUAACUUGGGAGUCAGAACAUGGGUGAUAAGGUCCGUGUUCGAAAGGGAAACAGCCCAGACCACCAGCUAAGGUCCCAAAAUAUAUGUUAAGUGGAAAAGGAUGUGGCGUUGCCCAGACAACUAGGAUGUUGGCUUAGAAGCAGCCAUCAUUUAAAGAGUGCGUAAUAGCUCACUAGUCGAGUGACACUGCGCCGAAAAUGUACCGGGGCUAAACAUAUUACCGAAGCUGUGGAUUGUCCUUUGGACAAUGGUAGGAGAGCGUUCUAAGGGCGUCGAAGCAUGAUCGCAAGGACAUGUGGAGCGCUUAGAAGUGAGAAUGCCGGUGUGAGUAGCGAAAGACGGGUGAGAAUCCCGUCCACCGAUUGACUAAGGUUUCCAGAGGAAGGCUCGUCCGCUCUGGGUUAGUCGGGUCCUAAGCUGAGGCCGACAGGCGUAGGCGAUGGAUAACAGGUUGAUAUUCCUGUACCACCUAGUAUCGUUUUAAUCGAUGGGGGG